Molecule: ribosomal RNA, 525 nt
Filed under: Bathypolypus sp. E JMS-2011
Lineage: Eukaryota; Metazoa; Mollusca; Cephalopoda; Octopoda; Octopodidae
Description: Benthoctopus sp. E JMS-2011 partial 16S ribosomal RNA
Rfam family: Bacterial large subunit ribosomal RNA
Source: RNAcentral
GUCUCUUUGAGGAAUUAAUAAUAAAGAGUUUGGCCUGCUCAGUGAGAUUUUUAACAGCUGCGGUAUUAUAACUGUACUAAGGUAGCAUAAUAAUUUGCCUUAUAAAUUAGGGCUAGAAUGAAUGGUUUGACGAAAAUUAUACUGUCUCUAUUUUAAUUGAUAGAAAUUAAUUUUUAUAGUGAAAAAGCUUAAAUAGUUUAAAGGGACGAGAAGACCCUAUUGAGCUUUAUAUUAGUUAUAAUAAAAUGUAAUUUAUUUAGUUAAAUUAAAUUUAUGUUUAUUAUGUUUAAUUUUGGUUGGGGUGAUCAAGGAAUAAAAUAAAUAUUAUUUAACUUCCUUAAGGAAUUAAUUUUUUAGAAUAAUUAACCAAUGAUAUUGCUUAUAUGAUAAGUUACCAUAGGGAUAACAGCGUAAUUUUUUUGGAGAGUUCAUAUUAAAAAAGAGAUUGCGACCUCGAUGUUGGAUUAAAAUAACCAUAUGGUGAAGAGGCUUUAUAUGGUGAAUCUGUUCGAUUUUUAAAAUUUU